RNAcentral lists this long non-coding RNA (1169 nucleotides) under Homo sapiens (human). Its description in RNAcentral is "HSALNT0324230". Lineage: Eukaryota; Metazoa; Chordata; Mammalia; Primates; Hominidae. The record is from RNAcentral.
CAGAGCCUCAAAGAGCACCCAGCAUAACUGUGGGAGAAUAGUAAGCAUUGGACACAAAAUGGUUUAGGCAAAUAAUGAUGAACAAAAAUGGUCAGUCUGUGUUCCUGCUGACCCAGCACAGUGGGGACGCUGUGUAGGACAUGACCUUUGGGGGAAAGGACACAAGAACUCAGCGUGGGGGAUCCAGAAAAGAAGUCGCACGUAUUGAAGCCAGUAACGCCAAGCCAGUGAAUUCUCCUUGACGAGAAAGACCCACUUACUCUGCAGAAGAGAUAUAUGACAGCUGACAAUCCCUGGAGGAGAAUCUUUCUACUAAAUUGGUAAGGGAUGCUAAGCAAAUGAUGUGGACUCAGGAAACAACGCAUUUCAUGAUAUACGGUUGCCUCUCAAGGUGAAUUCGAGACCCCUCUUGAAUUACAAAGAGUAACUCCAGGUUGAAGAACUUCUACUUAUAGGCAUCUAUUCAACGAAGACGAAUCCUGGAAUGGGGAUGGAAAUGAUGGCUCAUGUCUUAGCAAACUACCAAACUGAUCCGAGAGGACAGGGAAGUCAGUGUGGGCGGCUCUAAGGAGCCUCCCUCUCUACAGCUGCGGCUCAGAGGAUUACGGCGCUUCAUCCACAAGGCAACAUUGCACAAGUAGCUUUUGAACAAAAGUCAUGGAUACUAUUAAUGAUAUGUUCCCACACACAUUUAGUGUCGUCUCAAAAUUCACGCUGUCAACUGUCUCUAGGAAUCAUUUCCAUCUGAGAACAGACCACACAAAGACACAGUGAAACUCAGUUUCUGCAGAAUUUGAUUUCAUUUGAGUUACUGGGGAACAAAGCAAUUAGACAAUGAAUAAUAGCUCAAGACAGGCUGAAGCUGAAGAUUUCUGCAAAAGAAUGAAGAGGAAACGUUUUGAUCCUGAGCAGAUGUUCUCCCUAGAUUGCUUCACCUGAGGUUGAUUGACUUUUGGAAACGAGAUUUGUUCCCAGUGCUUUGUGAGUCUCUUGUUGGAAGGACUGUCUUUAAAUUAAAGCAAUUAGAGUUACUUUAUAAGAUUUACCCAAAUAUAAGAGCUGAAGAGAAUAAUUCAAAUUGAUCAGAAGAAAAUACUCAAUUACUGACAAAUGUCAAUUACAUCAAUAGCCUAGGCUGCUCUUGAACUCCUGGGCUCAAACGAUCCUCC